Molecule: ribosomal RNA, 2236 nt
Filed under: Campylobacter coli
Lineage: Bacteria; Pseudomonadati; Campylobacterota; Epsilonproteobacteria; Campylobacterales; Campylobacteraceae
Description: partial 23S ribosomal RNA
Rfam family: Bacterial large subunit ribosomal RNA
Source: RNAcentral
AAAAAAGGUAAGCUACUAAGAGCGAAUGGUGGAUGCCUUGACUGGUAAAGGCGAUGAAGGACGUACUAGACUGCGAUAAGCUACGGGGAGCUGUCAAGAAGCUUUGAUCCGUAGAUUUCCGAAUGGGGCAACCCAAUGUAUAGAGAUAUACAUUACCUAUAUAGGAGCGAACGAGGGGAAUUGAAACAUCUUAGUACCCUCAGGAAAAGAAAUCAAUAGAGAUUGCGUCAGUAGCGGCGAGCGAAAGCGCAAGAGGGCAAACCCAGUGCUUGCACUGGGGGUUGUAGGACUGCAAUGUGCAAGAGGUGAGUUUAGCAGAACAUUCUGGAAAGUAUAGCCAUAGAGGGUGAUAGUCCCGUAUGCGAAAAACAAACCUUAGCUAGCAGUAUCCUGAGUAGGGCGGGACACGAGAAAUCCUGUCUGAAGCUGGGUCGACCACGAUCCAACCCUAAAUACUAAUACCAGAUCGAUAGUGCACAAGUACCGUGAGGGAAAGGUGAAAAGAACUGAGGUGAUCAGAGUGAAAUAGAACCUGAAACCAUUUGCUUACAAUCAUUCAGAGCCCUAUGUAGCAAUACAGGGUGAUGGACUGCCUUUUGCAUAAUGAGCCUGCGAGUUGUGGUGUCUGGCAAGGUUAAGCAAACGCGAAGCCGUAGCGAAAGCGAGUCUGAAUAGGGCGCUUAGUCAGAUGCUGCAGACCCGAAACGAAGUGAUCUAUCCAUGAGCAAGUUGAAGCUAGUGUAAGAACUAGUGGAGGACUGAACCCAUAGGCGUUGAAAAGCCCCGGGAUGACUUGUGGAUAGGGGUGAAAGGCCAAUCAAACUUCGUGAUAGCUGGUUCUCUCCGAAAUAUAUUUAGGUAUAGCGUUGUGUCGUAAUAUAAGGGGGUAGAGCACUGAAUGGGCUAGGGCAUACACCAAUGUACCAAACCCUAUCAAACUCCGAAUACCUUAUAUGUAAUCACAGCAGUCAGGCGGCGAGUGAUAAAAUCCGUCGUCAAGAGGGAAACAACCCAGACUACCAGCUAAGGUCCCUAAAUCUUACUUAAGUGGAAAACGAUGUGAAGUUACUUAAACAACCAGGAGGUUGGCUUAGAAGCAGCCAUCCUUUAAAGAAAGCGUAAUAGCUCACUGGUCUAGUGAUUUUGCGCGGAAAAUAUAACGGGGCUAAAGUAAGUACCGAAGCUGUAGACUUGCGCACAACUUAGAUUAUUUAAGUUUAGAAUAUGAGAAACUAAGUUAUAUGUUUAGUUAUAUUUUUACUGAUUUUUAUAGAGUAAAGAUAGAAAUAAAACUUAGUAAAAUCAGUAAAAAUAUUCUUAGACUAAAGUUAAGUAGUUUAAGUUGUGUGCAAGUGGUAGGAGAGCGUUCUAUUUGCGUCGAAGGUAUACCGGUAAGGAGUGCUGGAGCGAAUAGAAGUGAGCAUGCAGGCAUGAGUAGCGAUAAUUAAUGUGAGAAUCAUUAACGCCGUAAACCCAAGGUUUCCUACGCGAUGCUCGUCAUCGUAGGGUUAGUCGGGUCCUAAGUCGAGUCCGAAAGGGGUAGACGAUGGCAAAUUGGUUAAUAUUCCAAUACCAACAUUAGUGUGCGAUGGAAGGACGCUUAGGGCUAAGGGGGCUAGCGGAUGGAAGUGCUAGUCUAAGGUCGUAGGAGGUUAUACAGGCAAAUCCGUAUAACAAUACUCCGAGAACUGAAAGGCUUUUUGAAGUCUUCGGAUGGAUAGAAGAACCCCUGAUGCCAUCGAGCCAAGAAAAGUUUCUAAGUUUAGCUAAUGUUGCCCGUACCGUAAACCGACACAGGUGGGUGGGAUGAGUAUUCUAAGGCGCGUGGAAGAACUCUCUUUAAGGAACUCUGCAAAAUAGCACCGUAUCUUCGGUAUAAGGUGUGGUUCGCUUCGUAUUAGGAUUUACUCCGAAAGCGAAGAAACUUACAACAAAGAGUCCCUCCCGACUGUUUACCAAAAACACAGCACUCUGCUAACUCGUAAGAGGAUGUAUAGGGUGUGACGCCUGCCCGGUGCUCGAAGGUUAAUUGAUGGGGUUAGCAUUAGCGAAGCUCUUGAUCGAAGCCCGAGUAAACGGCGGCCGUAACUAUAACGGUCCUAAGGUAGCGAAAUUCCUUGUCGGUUAAAUACCGACCUGCAUGAAUGGCGUAACGAGAUGGGAGCUGUCUCAAAGAGGGAUCCAGUGAAAUUGUAGUGGAGGUGAAAAUUCCUCCUACCCGCGGCAAGACGGAAAG